Pelobates cultripes (western spadefoot toad) is the source of this 403-nucleotide non-coding RNA. NCBI's taxonomy places the organism in Eukaryota, Metazoa, Chordata, Amphibia, Anura, Pelobatidae. The record is from the annotation of a GenBank genome assembly.
GCUGUAUAUGUGUCGGUUGCAGGGCCGGAUUAAGAGCACACUGGGCCUGGUGCUGACAAUUAUGAUGGGCCUAAUUACGUAAUUUUAUCGACCAAAAACACUAAAACAGUCAUACAUCCCAAGCGUCAUGUAUCUGAUGGAGAUGGUGCUGGAGGGAAACUCAUAGGAUGCAGCUAUAAGAAAAAACAUACUCUAUGCUUAUCUCUCUCUAAUUUAUGCUUUCAUCUUUCAAGUAAAUCCAUACCCCCUAACAGCAGUGUCCAGUGAAGCAGGAAGUCAAUAGGCGGGGUAAAAGGGUGGGCCACUGGUGCGAAUCACGUGACCAGACCUGCCAAAAGGGGUGAACAUGCCCAAAAAGGGGGCAUGUCUGUCCAAAGAAUUUGAAGGACAGCCUGGCAUGAAU